GUGGUGGGGAGUCGUGAGCGGGUGAGUAAUGCAUCGGAGCAUAUCCUGUAGUGGGGGAUAGCCCGGCGAAAGCCGGAUUAAUACCGCAUACGAUGUAUGGAUGAAAGCGGGGGACCUUCGGGCCUCGCGCUAUAGGGUUGGCCGAUGGCUGAUUAGACUAGUUGGUGGGGUAAAGGCCUACCAAGGCGACGAUCAGUAGCUGGUCUGAGAGGACGACCAGCCACACUGGGACUGAGACCCGGCCCAGACUCCUACGGGAGGCAGCAGUGGGGAAUUUUGGACAAUGGGCGAAAGCAUGAUCCAGCAAUGCCGCGUGUGUGAAGAAGCCUUCGGGUUGUAAAGCACUUUUGUCCGGAAAGAAAUCCUUGGCUCUAAUACAGUCGGGGGAUGACGGUACCGGAAGAAUAAGCGCCGGCUAACUACGUGCCAGCAGCCGCGGUAAUACGUAGGGUGCGAGCGUUAAUCGGAAUUACUGGGCGUAAAGCGUGCGCAGGCGGUUUGCUAAGACCGAUGUGAAAUCCCCGGGCUCAACCUGGGAACUGCAUUGGUGACUGGCAGGCUAGAGUAUGGCAGAGGGGGGUAGAAUUCCACGUGUAGCAGUGAAAUGCGUAGAGAUGUGGAGGAAUACCGAUGGCGAAGGCAGCCCCCUGGGCCAAUACUGACGCUCAUGCACGAAAGCGUGGGGAGCAAACAGGAUUAGAUACCCUGGUAGUCCACGCCCUAAACGAUGUCAACUAGUUGUUGGGGAUUCAUUUCCUUAGUAACGUAGCUAACGCGUGAAGUUGACCGCCUGGGGAGUACGGUCGCAAGAUUAAAACUCAAAGGAAUUGACGGGGACCCGCACAAGCGGUGGAUGAUGUGGAUUAAUUCGAUGCAACGCGAAAAACCUUACCUACCCUUGACAUGGUCGGAAUCCCGCUGAGAGGUGGGAGUGCUCGAAAGAGAACCGGCGCACAGGUGCUGCAUGGCUGUCGUCAGCUCGUGUCGUGAGAUGUUGGGUUAAGUCCCGCAACGAGCGCAACCCUUGUCCUUAGUUGCUACGCAAGAGCACUCUAAGGAGACUGCCGGUGACAAACCGGAGGAAGGUGGGGAUGACGUCAAGUCCUCAUGGCCCUUAUGGGUAGGGCUUCACACGUCAUACAAUGGUCGGAACAGAGGGUUGCCAACCCGCGAGGGGGAGCUAAUCCCAGAAAACCGAUCGUAGUCCGGAUUGCACUCUGCAACUCGAGUGCAUGAAGCUGGAAUCGCUAGUAAUC
RNAcentral lists this ribosomal RNA (1256 nucleotides) under Burkholderia contaminans. RNAcentral's name for it is "bacterial SSU rRNA". It matches the Rfam family "Bacterial small subunit ribosomal RNA", at positions 85 to 1343 of the family's 1533-position model. Lineage: Bacteria; Pseudomonadati; Pseudomonadota; Betaproteobacteria; Burkholderiales; Burkholderiaceae. The record is from RNAcentral.